UACAGAGGUCUCAAGCGUUGUUCGGAUUCAUUGGGCGUAAAGGGUGCGUAGGUGGCGGGGUAAGUCAGGUGUGAAAUUUCGGAGCUUAACUCCGAAACUGCAUUUGAUACUGCCUUGCUUGAGGACUGGAGAGGAGACUGGAAUUUACGGUGUAGCAGUGAAAUGCGUAGAUAUCGUAAGGAAGACCAGUGGCGAAGGCGGGUCUCUGGACAGUUCCUGACACUGAGGCACGAAGGCUAGGGGAGCAAACAGG
This 253-nucleotide ribosomal RNA is filed under the name uncultured bacterium. RNAcentral's name for it is "partial 16S ribosomal RNA". It matches the Rfam family "Bacterial small subunit ribosomal RNA", at positions 524 to 776 of the family's 1533-position model. The record is from RNAcentral.